UUGGGGUACGGGGAUAUGUACCCCAUGACGUGGUCGGGGAUGUUGGUGGGGGCUCUUUGCGCCUUGGCGGGGGUCCUCACCAUCGCCAUGC
Regulatory RNA element from Gavia stellata (red-throated loon), 91 nucleotides. It matches the Rfam family "Potassium channel RNA editing signal", at positions 1 to 91 of the family's 114-position model. Rfam says of the family: This family represents a group of sequences related to the human potassium channel Kv1.1 hairpin element which directs the efficient modification of an adenosine to inosine by an adenosine deaminase acting on RNA (ADAR). The ADAR modification causes an isoleucine/valine recoding event which lies in the ion-conducting pore of the potassium channel. It is thought that this editing event targets the process of fast inactivation and allows a more rapid recovery from inactivation at negative potentials. Lineage: Eukaryota; Metazoa; Chordata; Aves; Gaviiformes; Gaviidae. The record is from Rfam.